Molecule: ribosomal RNA, 736 nt
Filed under: Pseudoglutamicibacter cumminsii
Lineage: Bacteria; Bacillati; Actinomycetota; Actinomycetes; Micrococcales; Micrococcaceae
Description: bacterial SSU rRNA
Rfam family: Bacterial small subunit ribosomal RNA
Source: RNAcentral
AUGCAAGUCGAACGCUGAAGCCUGGUGCUUGCACUGGGUGGAUGAGUGGCGAACGGGUGAGUAACACGUGAGUAACCUGCCCUUGACUUCGGGAUAAGCCCGGGAAACUGGGUCUAAUACUGGAUAUGACCUCCUGCCGCAUGGUGGGGGGUGGAAAGAUUUAUCGGUUGGGGAUGGACUCGCGGCCUAUCAGUUUGUUGGUGGGGUAAUGGCCUACCAAGACGACGACGGGUAGCCGGCCUGAGAGGGUGACCGGCCACACUGGGACUGAGACACGGCCCAGACUCCUACGGGAGGCAGCAGUGGGGAAUAUUGCACAAUGGGCGCAAGCCUGAUGCAGCGACGCCGCGUGAGGGAUGACGGCCUUCGGGUUGUAAACCUCUUUCAGUAGGGAAGCAGCCCUUUUUGGGUGACGGUACCUGCAGAAGAAGCGCCGGCUAACUACGUGCCAGCAGCCGCGGUAAUACGUAGGGCGCGAGCGUUAUCCGGAAUUAUUGGGCGUAAAGAGCUCGUAGGCGGUUUGUCGCGUCUGCUGUGAAAGCCCGGGGCUUAACUCCGGGUGUGCAGUGGGUACGGGCAGGCUAGAGUGCAGUAGGGGAGACUGGAAUUCCUGGUGUAGCGGUGGAAUGCGCAGAUAUCAGGAGGAAACACCGAUGGCGAAGGCAGGUCUCUGGGCUGUUUAACUGACGCUGAGGAGCGAAAGCAUUGGGGGAGCAAAACAGGAUUUAGGAUACCC